AUUGAACGCUGGCGGCAUGCCUUACACAUGCAAGUCGAACGGUAACAGGUCUUCGGAUGCUGUCGAGUGGCGAACGGGUGAGUAAUACAUCGGAACGUGCCUAGUAGUGGGGGAUAACUACUCGAAAGAGUGGCUAAUACCGCAUGAGAUCUACGGAUGAAAGCAGGGGAUCGCAAGACCUUGUGCUACUAGAGCGGCCGAUGGCAGAUUAGGUAGUUGGUGGGAUAAAAGCUUACCAAGCCGACGAUCUGUAGCUGGUCUGAGAGGACGAUCAGCAACACUGGGACGGAGACACGGCCCAGGCUCCUACGGGAGGCAGCAGUGGGGAAUUUUGGACAAUGGGCGAAAGCCUGAUCCAGCAAUGCAGCGUGCAGGAUGAAGGCCUUCGGGUUGUAAACUGCUUUUGUACGGAACGAAAAGCCCCGGGUUAAUACCCUGGGGUCAUGACGGUACCGUAAGAAUAAGCACCGGCUAACUACGUGCCAGCCGCCGCAGUAA
RNAcentral lists this ribosomal RNA (498 nucleotides) under uncultured bacterium. RNAcentral's name for it is "partial 16S ribosomal RNA". It matches the Rfam family "Bacterial small subunit ribosomal RNA", at positions 30 to 523 of the family's 1533-position model. The record is from RNAcentral.